RNAcentral lists this ribosomal RNA (468 nucleotides) under uncultured bacterium. RNAcentral describes it as "partial 16S ribosomal RNA". It matches the Rfam family "Bacterial small subunit ribosomal RNA", at positions 28 to 507 of the family's 1533-position model. The record is from RNAcentral.
GACGAACGCUGGCGGCGUGCUUAACACAUGCAAGUCGAACGGAAAGGCCCUGCUUUUGUGGGGUGCUCGAGUGGCGAACGGGUGAGUAACACGUGAGUAACCUGCCCUUGACUUUGGGAUAACUUCAGGAAACUGGGGCUAAUACCGGAUAGGAGCUCCUGCUGCAUGGUGGGGGUUGGAAAGUUUCGGCGGUUGGGGAUGGACUCGCGGCUUAUCAGCUUGUUGGUGGGGUAGUGGCUUACCAAGGCUUUGACGGGUAGCCGGCCUGAGCGGGUGACCGGCCAGAUUGGGACUGAGAUACGGCCCAGACUCCUACGGGAGGCAGCAGUGGGGAAUAUUGCACAAUGGGCGGAAGCCUGAUGCAGCAACGCCGCGUGCGGGAUGACGGCCUUCGGGUUGUAAACCGCUUUCGCCUGUGACGAAGCGUGAGUGACGGUAAUGGGUAAAGAAGCACCGGCUAACUACGUG